UACAGAGGGUGCGAGCGUUGUCCGGAAUCACUGGGCGUAAAGGGCGCGUAGGCGGUUGCCGAAGCGUGCGGUGAAAGCCCGGGGCUCAACUCCGGGUCGGCCGUGCGAACCGAGCGACUGGAGUCCGGUAGAGGCUGAUGGAAUUCCGGGUGUAGCGGUGGAAUGCGUAGAGAUCCGGAAGAACACCGGUGGCGAAGGCGGUCAGCUGGGCCGGUACUGACGCUGAGGCGCGACAGCGUGGGGAGCAAACAGG
RNAcentral lists this ribosomal RNA (253 nucleotides) under uncultured Gemmatimonas sp. RNAcentral describes it as "partial 16S ribosomal RNA". It matches the Rfam family "Bacterial small subunit ribosomal RNA", at positions 524 to 776 of the family's 1533-position model. Lineage: Bacteria; Pseudomonadati; Gemmatimonadota; Gemmatimonadia; Gemmatimonadales; Gemmatimonadaceae. The record is from RNAcentral.